This 416-nucleotide ribosomal RNA is filed under the name uncultured bacterium. RNAcentral describes it as "bacterial SSU rRNA". It matches the Rfam family "Bacterial small subunit ribosomal RNA", at positions 355 to 775 of the family's 1533-position model. The record is from RNAcentral.
UCGAGGAUCUUCGGCAAUGGGCGCAAGCCUGACCGAGCGACGCCGCGUGUGCGAUGAAGGCCUUCGGGUUGUAAAGCACUGUCGAGGGGGAGGAAGGCCGUAAAAUCGGCUUGACCUAUCCCUGGAGGAAGCACGGGCUAAGUUCGUGCCAGCAGCCGCGGUAAGACGAACCGUGCAAACGUUGUUCGGAAUCACUGGGCUUAAAGGGCGCGUAGGCGGGCCAGCCAGUCUGUGGUGAAAUCCUCCAGCUUAACUGGAGAAGUGCCGUGGAUACUGCUGGCCUCGAGGAGGGUAGGGGCAUCUGGAACGGUCGGUGGAGCGGUGAAAUGCGUUGAUAUCGACCGGAACUCCGGUGGCGAAGGCGAGGUGCUGGCCCCUUUCUGACGCUGAUGCGCGAAAGCCAGGGGAGCAAACGG